GCCGAAGUGGCGGAACAGGCAGACGCGAUGGUCUCAAAAACCAUUGAGGGGUGACCCUCAUGUGGGUUCGAGUCCCACCUUCGGCA
This 86-nucleotide transfer RNA is filed under the name Chloroflexi bacterium B3_Chlor. RNAcentral describes it as "tRNA-Leu". It matches the Rfam family "tRNA". Rfam says of the family: Transfer RNA (tRNA) molecules are approximately 80 nucleotides in length. Their secondary structure includes four short double-helical elements and three loops (D, anti-codon, and T loops). Further hydrogen bonds mediate the characteristic L-shaped molecular structure. tRNAs have two regions of fundamental functional importance: the anti-codon, which is responsible for specific mRNA codon recognition, and the 3' end, to which the tRNAs corresponding amino acid is attached (by aminoacyl-tRNA synthetases). tRNAs cope with the degeneracy of the genetic code in two manners: having more than one tRNA (with a specific anti-codon) for a particular amino acid; and 'wobble' base-pairing, i.e. permitting non-standard base-pairing at the 3rd anti-codon position. Lineage: Bacteria; Bacillati; Chloroflexota. The record is from RNAcentral. RNAcentral also lists the same sequence under 1 other name.